This 301-nucleotide ribosomal RNA is filed under the name uncultured bacterium. Its description in RNAcentral is "partial 16S ribosomal RNA". It matches the Rfam family "Bacterial small subunit ribosomal RNA", at positions 509 to 809 of the family's 1533-position model. The record is from RNAcentral.
CAGCAGCCGCGGUAAUACGAAGGGUGCAAGCGUUAAUCGGAAUUACUGGGCGUAAAGGGUGCGUAGGCGGUUGUUUAAGUCUGUUGUGAAAUCCCCGGGCUCAACCUGGGAAUGGCAAUGGAAACUGGACGGCUAGAGUGUGUCAGAGGAUGGUGGAAUUUCCGGUGUAGCAGUGAAAUGCGUAGAGAUCGGAAGGAGCAUCUGUGGCGAAGGCGACUAUCUGGGCCAACACUGACACUGAGGCACGAAAGCGUGGGGAGCAAACAGGAUUAGAUACCCCUGUAGUCCCUGUCUCUUAUAA